GUUUGUUUAAUGAUCCGUCUUCUGCAGUAGUGAGGGUGUUGUGUCAUCCUAGGACAGCCUUUUGGACUGGUGAAAAUAUAUUUAUGGACUGGUGCUUGGGAAUCACUACUUAGAAGAUAAAAAUAUGAUCUUCAUUUCUAAUCACUUUUAACUGUUGAAUAUCUUUAUUUUUUUCUAUCUAGAACUUAUGUUUAAAUCUGUUUUAAAAGUUUCAAAUAAAACUGUAGUUUCCUCCACGUUGAAGAAAACUUCAAA
This 255-nucleotide long non-coding RNA is filed under the name Pan troglodytes (chimpanzee). RNAcentral describes it as "lincRNA". The record is from RNAcentral. Lineage: Eukaryota; Metazoa; Chordata; Mammalia; Primates; Hominidae.